Molecule: ribosomal RNA, 497 nt
Filed under: uncultured bacterium
Lineage: Bacteria
Description: partial 16S ribosomal RNA
Rfam family: Bacterial small subunit ribosomal RNA
Source: RNAcentral
GAUGAACGCUGGCGGCGUGCCUAAUACAUGCAAGUCGAGCGAACGGACGAGAAGCUUGCUUUUCUGAUGUUAGCGGCGGACGGGUGAGUAACACGUGGAUAACCUACCUAUAAGACUGGGAUAACUUCGGGAAACCGGAGCUAAUACCGGAUAAUAUUUUGAACCGCAUGGUUCAAAAGUGAGAGACGGUGUUGCGGUCACUUAUAGAUGGUUCCGCGCUGCAUUAGCUAGUUGGUAAGGUAACGGCUUACCAAGGCAACGAUGCAUAGCCGACCUGAGAGGGUGAUCGGCCACACUGGAACGGAGACACGGUCCAGACGCCUACGGGAGGGAGCAGUAGGGAAUCGUACGCAAUGGGGGAAAGCAUGACGGAGCAACGCCGCGUGAGUGAUGAAGGUCUUCGGAUCGUAAAACUCUGUUAUUAGGGAAGAACAGAUGUGUAAGUAACUGUGCACAUCUUGACGGUACCUAAUCAGAAAGCAACGGCUAACUACGUG